UACGUAGGGGGCAAGCGUUGUCCGGAUUUAUUGGGCGUAAAGAGCGUGUAGGCGGCCAGGUAGGUCUGCUGUGAAAACUCGAGGCUUAACCUCGAGAUGUCGGCGGAAACCAUCUGGCUAGAGUCCGGAAGAGGAGAAUGGAAUUCUCGGUGUAGCGGUGAAAUGCGUAGAUAUCGAGAGGAACACCUGCGGCGAAGGCGGGUUGCUGGGCUGAUACUGACGCUGAGGCGCGAAAGCCAGGGGAGCGAACGGG
Molecule: ribosomal RNA, 253 nt
Filed under: uncultured bacterium
Lineage: Bacteria
Description: partial 16S ribosomal RNA
Rfam family: Bacterial small subunit ribosomal RNA
Source: RNAcentral